GUUGUAUCUGUUCUUAUCAGUUUAAUAUCUGAUAUGUCCUUUAUUUGAGGACUUUAUAUUAAAUUGAUUUUUGAAACGGGGCUGGAAUAGGAGCUUGCUCUGUCCACCCCAUGCAUUGACCUGGUAUUGCAGUGCCACCAGGACCGGACC
Molecule: small nuclear RNA, 150 nt
Filed under: Chelonoidis abingdonii (Abingdon island giant tortoise)
Lineage: Eukaryota; Metazoa; Chordata; Testudines; Testudinidae
Description: U2 spliceosomal RNA (ENSCABG00000001112.1)
Rfam family: U2 spliceosomal RNA
About the family: U2 is a small nuclear RNA (snRNA) component of the spliceosome (involved in pre-mRNA splicing). Complementary binding between U2 snRNA (in an area lying towards the 5' end but 3' to hairpin I) and the branchpoint sequence (BPS) of the intron results the bulging out of an unpaired adenosine, on the BPS, which initiates a nucleophilic attack at the intronic 5' splice site, thus starting the first of two transesterification reactions that mediate splicing.
Source: RNAcentral